RNAcentral lists this ribosomal RNA (404 nucleotides) under Actinomycetes bacterium. RNAcentral's name for it is "Actinobacteria bacterium partial 16S ribosomal RNA". It matches the Rfam family "Bacterial small subunit ribosomal RNA", at positions 355 to 776 of the family's 1533-position model. The record is from RNAcentral. Lineage: Bacteria; Bacillati; Actinomycetota; Actinomycetes.
UGGGGAAUAUUGGACAAUGGGCGCAAGCCUGAUCCAGCCAUGCCGCGUGAGUGAUGAAGGCCCUAUGGUUGUAAAGCUCUUGCACCGGUGAAGAUAAUGACGGUAACCGGAGAAGAAGCCCCGGCUAACUUCGUGCCAGCAGCCGCGGUAAUACGAAGGGGGCUAGCGUUGUUCGGAUUUACUGGGCGUAAAGCGCACGUAGGCGGACUAUUAAGUCAGGGGUGAAAUCCCGGGGCUCAACCCCGGAACUGCCUUUGAUACUGGUAGUCUUGAGUUCGAGAGAGGUGAGUGGAAUUCCGAGUGUAGAGGUGAAAUUCGUAGAUAUUCGGAGGAACACCAGUGGCGAAGGCGGCUCACUGGCUCGAUACUGACGCUGAGGUGCGAAAGCGUGGGGAGCAAACAGG